RNAcentral lists this long non-coding RNA (234 nucleotides) under Salvator merianae (Argentine black and white tegu). RNAcentral describes it as "lncRNA (ENSSMRG00000017179.1)". The record is from RNAcentral. Lineage: Eukaryota; Metazoa; Chordata; Lepidosauria; Squamata; Teiidae.
GCAGAUUUGCAUAAUUUGGAUUUUUUUUUUUUCCAAUGAAAGAAACUUAUUUGCAAACCAAACCAAAACCACUAGAAGUUCCCCAAACCCAGCUGCUUCGAUCUUCAUGAUUAUUCAGGGUUCAAACAUAACUGAAAACUCUUUUUCAGCCUUGUAAAGGGGACAGUGGAAGCAGAGGACACCCAUUUCUAUAAGAAAUGCGCAUGCAGGUAUCGCUUGCUUUCUGUAGUGCUC